Molecule: ribosomal RNA, 499 nt
Filed under: uncultured bacterium
Lineage: Bacteria
Description: partial 16S ribosomal RNA
Rfam family: Bacterial small subunit ribosomal RNA
Source: RNAcentral
GAUGAACGCUAGCGGCAGGCCUAAUACAUGCAAGUCGAGGGGCAACAGGUGUAGCAAUACAUGCUGGCGACCGGCGCACGGGUGCGUAACACGUAUGUAAUCUACCCUUUACUGGAAGAUAGCCCGGAGAAAUUCGGAUUAAUACUCCAUAACACUAUAACAUGGCAUCAUGAAGUAGUUAAAGAUUUAUCGGUAAAGGAAGAGCAUGCGGCUGAUUAGCUAGUUGGUGAGGUAACGGCUCACCAAGGCAACGAUCAGUAGGGGACCUGAGAGGGUGAUCCCCCACACUGGUACUGAGAUACGGACCAGACGCCUACGGGAGGCAGCAGUAGGGAAUAUUGGGCAAUGGAGGCAACUCUGACCCAGCCAUGCCGCGUGCAGGAAGACGGCCUUCUGGGUUGUAAACUGCUUUUGAUCGGGAACAAAGAGCCCUUGCGAGGGAAGUUGAGUGUACCGAUAGAAUAAGCACCGGCUAACUCCGUGCCAGCCGCCGCAGUAA